UGGGGAAUAUUGCACAAUGGGCGCAAGCCUGAUGGAGCAACACCGCGUGAGUGAAGAAGGGUUUCGGCUCGUAAAGCUCUGUUGUUAAAGAAGAACACGUAUGAGAGUAACUGUUCAUACGUUGACGGUAUUUAACCAGAAAGUCACGGCUAACUACGUGCCAG
Molecule: ribosomal RNA, 164 nt
Filed under: uncultured bacterium
Lineage: Bacteria
Description: partial 16S rRNA
Rfam family: Bacterial small subunit ribosomal RNA
Source: RNAcentral